GACUGGGGCGGUCGCCUCCUAAAGAGUAACGGAGGCGCUCAAAGGUUCCCUCAGAAUGGUUGGAAAUCAUUCAUAGAGUGUAAAGGCAUAAGGGAGCUUGACUGCGAGACCUACAAGUCGAGCAGGGUCGAAAGACGGACUUAGUGAUCCGGUGGUUCCGCAUGGAAGGGCCAUCGCUCAACGGAUAAAAGCUACCCCGGGGAUAACAGGCUUAUCUCCCCCAAGAGUUCACAUCGACGGGGAGGUUUGGCACCUCGAUGUCGGCUCAUCGCAUCCUGGGGCUGUAGUCGGUCCCAAGGGUUGGGCUGUUCGCCCAUUAAAGCGGUACGCGAGCUGGGUUCAGAACGUCGUGAGACAGUUCGGUCCCUAUCCGUCGUGGGCGUAGGAAAUUUGAGAGGAGCUGUCCUUAGUACGAGAGGACCGGGAUGGACAUACCUCUGGUGUACCAGUUGUCGUGCCAACGGCAUAGCUGGGUAGCUAUGUAUGGACGGGAUAAGUGCUGAAAGCAUCUAAGCAUGAAGCCCCCCUCGAGAUGAGAUUUCCCAACUUCGGUUAUAAGAUCCCUCAAAGAUGAUGAGGUGAAU
Molecule: ribosomal RNA, 584 nt
Filed under: Staphylococcus pseudintermedius
Lineage: Bacteria; Bacillati; Bacillota; Bacilli; Caryophanales; Staphylococcaceae
Description: partial 23S ribosomal RNA
Rfam family: Bacterial large subunit ribosomal RNA
Source: RNAcentral